UAGCAUUUAUUGCGUGCUUAUCAUGUGCCA
RNAcentral lists this non-coding RNA (30 nucleotides) under Homo sapiens (human). The record is from RNAcentral. Lineage: Eukaryota; Metazoa; Chordata; Mammalia; Primates; Hominidae.